GAUCGCCGUAUGCGAUGAAAGUCGCCCGUGCGGUGAAGGCUCGUUAUAAAACAUAGAGACAGAGAAGGAUAAGGCGAGAAUAGCAAUGUAGCUCCACAAAUAACAAGUAUUUAUAUCUAU
RNAcentral lists this unclassified non-coding RNA (120 nucleotides) under Lysinibacillus fusiformis. Lineage: Bacteria; Bacillati; Bacillota; Bacilli; Caryophanales; Bacillaceae. The record is from RNAcentral.